Molecule: long non-coding RNA, 383 nt
Filed under: Sus scrofa (pig)
Lineage: Eukaryota; Metazoa; Chordata; Mammalia; Artiodactyla; Suidae
Description: lncRNA (ENSSSCG00035020034.1)
Source: RNAcentral
GUAAAGCUUUGCCUUUGUAUCUGAGUUUGAACUUUUUUCUCCCAUCUUUAAAAAUCCCCGUUUUCUCAAAAGAAAAGAUAAUGUGUCCCCAAGCGAAGCACUUUGUUCUUUGAGCUUUUUUUUUUUUUUUUUUUUUUUUUUUUAUAGUUUAAAUUGUUGACACCAACGAUGAACAUUGAGUGGAAGUCCUUGGGAAAAGUGAAAAAUAAGUGGGUGGAGAAAGACAUGCCAGAUACUGAUUUUGCAAAUUCCUUUAAGAAUUGUGAUUUGAUUCUUCAGAAAAUUCAGCACAAAUGAGGCUGUUGUAUGAGAGACUCAUUGGCCUAUUUUCUGAAGUGUUGAAGCCUCAUCCUUCUCAGGAAGAGCAUCCAGAUCCUCAGGUG